Molecule: long non-coding RNA, 275 nt
Organism: Cydia pomonella (codling moth)
Lineage: Eukaryota; Metazoa; Arthropoda; Insecta; Lepidoptera; Tortricidae
Exons: 2
Source: RefSeq, a predicted model, not a curated record
UCACUACGUUGCAGUGAUACAAUGACAACGUCAGUGUAGUAAAAAAAUACUGCAUGAAAUAAUAUAAAAAGCAAAAAAUGGAAACAAGAACCUCAGCAAAAAAAGAUUAUUGGGAUUGUUUAGAAACAUGUUUCGAAAUUCCAGCUGAAAGGCUAGAUAUAAGAAUCAUAGCAAUACUUGGGAUAAUACCAACAAUUGCAUGUGCCUGUCUCGGAUCACCUCUUGGAAAUUAUCAAACCAAUCAGCCGGACAAUAAAUCUUGUUUCCAUUAUUAA